AUACGGAGGGUGCAAGCGUUAUCCGGAUUUAUUGGGUUUAAAGGGUGCGCAGGCGGAUAAUUAAGUCAGUGGUGAAAUCCUCCCGCUCAACGGGAGAACUGCCAUUGAUACUGAUAAUCUGGAAUACGGUUGAAGUGGGCGGAAUGUAGCAUGUAGCGGUGAAAUGCAUAGAGAUGCUACAGAACACCGAUCGCGAAGGCAGCUCACUAAGCCGAUAUUGACGCUCAGGCACGAAAGCGUGGGGAGCGAACAGGAUUAGAAACCCUAGUAGUCC
This 274-nucleotide ribosomal RNA is filed under the name uncultured bacterium. Its description in RNAcentral is "partial 16S ribosomal RNA". It matches the Rfam family "Bacterial small subunit ribosomal RNA", at positions 523 to 796 of the family's 1533-position model. The record is from RNAcentral.